RNAcentral lists this transfer RNA (58 nucleotides) under Rattus norvegicus (Norway rat). Lineage: Eukaryota; Metazoa; Chordata; Mammalia; Rodentia; Muridae. The record is from Rfam by way of RNAcentral.
UGGCUUAGAGGUUAAAAGCACUGGAUGCUCUUCCAGAGUUCCUGAGUUCAAUUCUCAG